CGCCCAUGCGAAACACCAAAUGGAUCAUGGAACUGCACCAGCAGUUGUGUGCCCAAUGAUAACCAGAAAGCUUCAAUCUUGAAGAAUAAAUGGGAUUUGACAUACUGAUUCAAGUCUUCCCUUGAAUGCCCAAAUCCACUCAACCAAGCCUUGAAGAACCAGCAUUGAUAUUCCUAUGAAGAAUUCGAGCACCACCAGAAUCCCCACCAUCAAUCAACUCUCUCAACCCCAAAUUCCCCAUUUUCUCCUCUUCCUUCUCCUCCUCUUCCUCUUCCUUGUCCACCUUACUAACCCCGCCAGAUCUGGCCACCUUACCCUGCAGCCUCUCAAAGUAAUUUCCAUAAAUAUACUCAGGAGUGUAUCCAUUCUCUUCAUCAAACAGCAUAAUAUGUCCAUGCCACUCCCACACUCGAUAAUCUGAUCCUUUUUCCUCAUGAAACCCAACACAUAUGUGAUGUUCACCAAUUGUAACUGCCUGACCCGAGUUGGGGUUCAAUGAAUCAGUCUUACCUGAGAGGAUGAGUCGAAUGAUUUCCUUCUCAAGCUUGGAUUCUUCUUUAGAGAGCUGGGUUCUGGAAUCAGAGCAAUCAUCAUCAGAGUUAUCAGAGUUAUUGUAUGCAGCAUCAAAGAGGAGGUCCUCAAGUGACUGAGAGAGGAAGGGAUUGUGGGUAGAAUUUGGAGGAUGGAUUUGCAGUCGGCCCAUUAGGGUUUGAAGCAGGAGAUUGUCAAAAUUGGAGGUGUUGGUGAACGAGCUCAUAGUGUUUGCGUUUAGGUUUUGGCUUCAAUUAUCAGAGAACAAAAGAACUCAAUAUAGAUCUUUGGGGUGUAGAGAGAGGAUCCAGGAGGAUGACGGUAGCGAUUCCCUCGCCGACGAAAGCGAGAACGCAGCUGUUGUCGAAA
Molecule: unclassified non-coding RNA, 900 nt
Filed under: Hevea brasiliensis (rubber tree)
Lineage: Eukaryota; Viridiplantae; Streptophyta; Magnoliopsida; Malpighiales; Euphorbiaceae
Source: RNAcentral